RNAcentral lists this long non-coding RNA (342 nucleotides) under Carica papaya (papaya). Its description in RNAcentral is "long non-coding RNA (CPAP_LNC008381)". Lineage: Eukaryota; Viridiplantae; Streptophyta; Magnoliopsida; Brassicales; Caricaceae. The record is from RNAcentral.
CAAUAACAGAAAAUUCAGUAUUUCUAUAUGCACUCUAUCUACACAACCUAAGUCAUACUUUAGUACCACCCUGGGACUAUACAGCAUUAACUUAUCCCGAAAAUCUAGUUAUGGUUACAAGUAGCACAUGCAACAACAGAAAAACCAGUAUUCCUAUAUGUACCAUAUCUAUACAACCUAAGUCCUACUUUAGUACCCCUCUGGGACUACACAGAAUUAACCUGCCCCAGUAAUUUAGUUAUAUUGCAUAUCAAAUGUGAAAGCCCUCCGAAGUCACUCCAUGAGUACAAAUGUUCUCACUCGUCACCAAUAUCGGUGACCGACACUCAACCUUCUAUCUCU